This 617-nucleotide long non-coding RNA is filed under the name Nicotiana tabacum (common tobacco). RNAcentral's name for it is "long non-coding RNA (NTAB_LNC000020)". Lineage: Eukaryota; Viridiplantae; Streptophyta; Magnoliopsida; Solanales; Solanaceae. The record is from RNAcentral.
UUGCCUAUGAGACUGGAGGAAGAGUAGCACAAGGUCAAUUGAAAUAGACAAGUAGCGUAAGUAGAGUUACGAACCUUCUAAACAUAGCUUCCUUCUCGUCACAGAAUUUAAGACCCCUUUCCAGAUCAUCAGGGAAAAGGGCAGCAGCAAUGUCGUCAUUGUGUUUGCCAGCAAUAGUUUUGACAAACCAGUCCUCAUCAACCAGCACACCACCAUUGUAGCCUAUCUGCAGAACCAAAAUCGCCAGUGAUGAGCUUAAAAUUACUUAAUAUUUAUGUUUGCUUUGUGUCUUUGAUUUGGUUGAUUCGAUAGAGAUUUGGUCUGAUUUGGGUCUAAUAUGUUGCCCUUCAGUGCAGGUGGUGGUGCACAGGGGAUCAAUAGACGAAUAGUGCACUAAGUGGGAGGAAAACAAGUUGAGCAAGAAGAAAUUCUCGUGCGCGGGCAACCCCCAAACGCGCACCUGAGCGCGCAAGUGCCACAGAAGUCUGCCAGAGGUGCGCGACCAUGAGCGCGGUCAUACUCCCAGGUGCGCAUCCGCGCACGUCCGUCUCCGAGAAUUCUAGUCAGGCCUAUUUUUGUAAAUUUGGAGGCAGCCUUUUGACCUAUAUGAAGCCUAG